Molecule: ribosomal RNA, 425 nt
Filed under: Cytherissa tuberculata
Lineage: Eukaryota; Metazoa; Arthropoda; Ostracoda; Podocopida; Cytherideidae
Description: partial small subunit ribosomal RNA
Source: RNAcentral
UUUCAUAGUCGAACAGACUAGCUUACUUAGCUACUACGCUAGGCAGCGCCUUUAAUUCAACAUCGAGGUCACAAGAUCUUUUAUCGAUUAGGCCUCUCUAAAAGCAUUGUGCUGUUAUCCCUGAGGUAACUACUCUUUAACUUGCUAAAGAUCUUAGUAUCGCCUACUUGAGUGGCUUAUUAAUUAGAUGUUAUUACUUUACCGCCCCAGUUUGGCCCAACAGCAACGAAACCUCAAAUUGUUUGAGCUUGAGUUCAUCUCUAAGUCAGCUCUGCAGGGUCUUAUCUUCCCGUUGGUGGGACUUGAAGUUUUAAUCAAGACCUUAAGUUGUACCGUUACGGACUUACAAGUCGUCUUUCAUGAACCCCUUCAUUCUAGACCCCAAUUAAGAGCCAAAUUAUUAUGCUACCUUUGCACAGUUAAGG